CUCUCGCGAUACUCGCCAGGCCGAUAACAGGGGUGGGGGUGGCGGAGGCGGAGCCGCGAACCCUUCCGAGCCAAGGAGCGCCUGCGACCCCUCCGCGCGAGCGUGCCCGCGGGCACCGCCUAUUGGCCGCCGUCCCGGCCACGUGCGGCCCCACGUGACGAGACCCAGCAAUCCCAGGAUACAGGAAUUGUUCCUCAACAACGCUCCCAAGGAGACAGGACAGAAAGAAGCAAAGAAGCAGAGCUCUGAGUUUGAGAGAGCAGCCUGCAGCUCUGAAGCAAGCUUCACUUGCUCUCCUGCGCUUUGUGUUGCCCUAGGAGGUGUUCCCUUACAGCACAGUGCUAGCCAACAGCGGUGAAACUCCACACUGACUUCAACAGAGGGUAUAAAUCAGAGCAGUUCAAACAAAGUCAGUGGAGCAAUGCUGAAGACCAGGAGGAUGUACACCUAUAACCUGUAAACAUAAUGCUGCUGCAAGAUGUUGACAAACCAUGCUGGGAUACCAAAACCUUCCCUCCCAAGCUGUAAUGUGGGCAGUGUCAAUCACAACCUGCUUUCAGGAUACUAUGACCUUAACCAGGGAAUCUGUUAACUAUGAUAAGGGUCUGAAAUGGGGGCACAUAAUGGAGAAAAAUGGAGUGGAGACCAAACUCAUUUCAUAUGACUAAACACCUAUGAGAUCUCACAAACGUUUGAACGCUACACAUCUGAAAGUCACUGACUUACUACAGAUCAUUUUCCAUUAUCAUCCCACUUCUUAUACCAGAUUCAGUACCCCAGAGUGCCUUGAUUUUCCAGAUACUUAGGGUUGGUGUUGUAUGAUGUUAUACCACGUACUGAAACAGAGUUUCAGAUAUGCAUCUGAAAGCCUGCAUUUUUUAAAUUGCUCUGUAAUUCUGCACUUAAAAGGCAAUUCUACCACAGCAAUAUUGCAGUACAGAUUAUCAAGACAUUUAGGCAGGACAGUGAUUGUGGCAGCUGUCUGAGAAAGCCACUUAAACCCUGGAGUGUCUGUAUGUAGUUUCAGGUCUGGCCAGCUAAAAUCUAAGCAAGCAGUUAAAUGUGAAGGAAAUAACAGGUACAAGAAUGAGAAAAUACUGACUGCAAAAAACUUCAUGUUCAGCUACCCUGGCAGACAGUUUUGAGUGCACCACUAACAGGUUGUGAGGUGGGAUGUUUGGCUGAAGUAAGUGCCAGGUCUCACUGAAAAAUAUAAUUAAGACCUACCCCAGUGUAUUAUGAAAAUUCAGCUGGACUUUAUUUGUUUUAAUGCUUUCUAUGCCUGUUUUGGCUGACAUCUCUUUGAAAGGACUUGGCUUUAAAACUGUCUCUGGCUUAUAUUUUGUUCACUUUAUUGAGGAGAAAAGUCUGUUAGUAUUUUGGAGAUACAGGCUUUGGUUUUAUGCAUAUAAAGAGCUUAUAUCAAUCUUUAUGUACAUUUUUAGCUUAUACAUGUAAAUGUCUCAAAAUGACCAUUAAAGGAUGCAGAUAGUUCUCUAUUACCCACAGCCCAGCUGCAAAUACCCUUGUUAUGGCUUACUUCAACAUUUCCAGUAUUAUUCACAAAAGCAAAAUUAUUUUGGCAGGAGCUUUGCCAGGGAAAGCAAGUCAGAGUCAAGACCAUCCAGGGCUUGAGGUUGUCAGUGGAGACUGGAAGGUCACUGUGACAGUGAUUGUCUUUCUAUGGUACAUUCAGGCACUGCUAAGGACAGUGAAGUUUGAGUCCCCCGCUGCUAUUUCAACACAAAUCAUAAAUAAUAGUAAAACAGUCUUUGAGUAGCGUUCUUCAGGAGCUGGCAUGGCCACAUCAGCCA
Non-coding RNA from Phalacrocorax carbo (great cormorant), 1814 nucleotides. The record is from RefSeq and is a predicted model, not a curated record. NCBI's taxonomy places the organism in Eukaryota, Metazoa, Chordata, Aves, Suliformes, Phalacrocoracidae.